RNAcentral lists this transfer RNA (60 nucleotides) under Hygrobates turcicus. RNAcentral's name for it is "tRNA-Trp". Lineage: Eukaryota; Metazoa; Arthropoda; Arachnida; Trombidiformes; Hygrobatidae. The record is from RNAcentral.
AAAGCAAUAGGUUAUUUAAACUAUUAUCCUUCAAAGAUAAAGAUAGUAAGCUUUACCUUU